CCCUUAGAUGUUCUGGGCCGCACGCGCACUACACUGAAGGGAUCAGCGUGUUUUCCCUUCCCGAGAGGGACGGGUAACCCGCUGAACCCCCUUCGUGGUAGGGAUCGGAGCUUGCAAUUGUUCUCCGUGAACCAGGAAUUCCCAGUAAGCGCAAGUCAUAAGCUUGCGUUGAUUACGUCCCUGCCCUUUGUACACACCGCCCGUCGCUACUACCGAUUGAACGUUUUAGUGAGGUAUUUGGACUGGGCCUUGGGAGGUUUCGGCCUCCCUUGUUGCUCGGAAAGACUCCCAAACUUGAGCGUUUAGAGGAAGUAAAAGUCGUAACA
RNAcentral lists this ribosomal RNA (326 nucleotides) under uncultured eukaryote. RNAcentral's name for it is "partial 18S ribosomal RNA". It matches the Rfam family "Eukaryotic small subunit ribosomal RNA", at positions 1470 to 1796 of the family's 1831-position model. The record is from RNAcentral.